This 82-nucleotide transfer RNA is filed under the name Canis lupus familiaris (dog). It matches the Rfam family "tRNA". From Rfam's summary of the family: Transfer RNA (tRNA) molecules are approximately 80 nucleotides in length. Their secondary structure includes four short double-helical elements and three loops (D, anti-codon, and T loops). Further hydrogen bonds mediate the characteristic L-shaped molecular structure. tRNAs have two regions of fundamental functional importance: the anti-codon, which is responsible for specific mRNA codon recognition, and the 3' end, to which the tRNAs corresponding amino acid is attached (by aminoacyl-tRNA synthetases). tRNAs cope with the degeneracy of the genetic code in two manners: having more than one tRNA (with a specific anti-codon) for a particular amino acid; and 'wobble' base-pairing, i.e. permitting non-standard base-pairing at the 3rd anti-codon position. RNAcentral also lists the same sequence under 1 other name. The record is from Rfam by way of RNAcentral. Lineage: Eukaryota; Metazoa; Chordata; Mammalia; Carnivora; Canidae.
GCCCAGGUGGCUCAGGGGUUGGGCACCUGCCUUCAGCUCAGGUCAUGAUCCUGGGAUCCAGGAUCGAGUCCUGUUUUGGGCU